CCUACGGUGGCUGCAGUGGGGAAUAUUGGACAAUGGGCGAAAGCCUGAUCCAGCCAUGCCGCGUGUGUGAAGAAGGCCUUCGGGUUGUAAAGCACUUUCAGUGGGGAAGAAAGCCUUGGGGCUAAUACCCUCGAGGAAGGACAUCACCCACAGAAGAAGCACCGGCUAACUCCGUGCCAGCAGCCGCGGUAAUACGGAGGGUGCGGGCGUUAAUCGGAAUUACUGGGCGUAAAGCGCGCGUAGGCGGUCUGAUAAGCCGGUUGUGAAAGCCCCGGGCUCAACCUGGGAACGGCAUCCGGAACUGUCAGGCUAGAGUGCAGGAGAGGAAGGUAGAAUUCCCGGUGUAGCGGUGAAAUGCGUAGAGAUCGGGAGGAAUACCAGUGGCGAAGGCGGCCUUCUGGACUGACACUGACGCUGAGGUGCGAAAGCGUGGGUAGCAAACAGGAUUAGAUACCCUAGUAGUC
RNAcentral lists this ribosomal RNA (464 nucleotides) under Vreelandella stevensii. RNAcentral's name for it is "partial 16S ribosomal RNA". It matches the Rfam family "Bacterial small subunit ribosomal RNA", at positions 338 to 795 of the family's 1533-position model. Lineage: Bacteria; Pseudomonadati; Pseudomonadota; Gammaproteobacteria; Oceanospirillales; Halomonadaceae. The record is from RNAcentral.